This 388-nucleotide ribosomal RNA is filed under the name uncultured bacterium. Its description in RNAcentral is "bacterial SSU rRNA". It matches the Rfam family "Bacterial small subunit ribosomal RNA", at positions 30 to 418 of the family's 1533-position model. The record is from RNAcentral.
AUUGAACGCUGGCGGCAUGCCUUACACAUGCAAGUCGAACGGCAGCACGGGGGCAACCCUGGUGGCGAGUGGCGAACGGGUGAGUAACAUAUCGGAACGCGCCCUGGGAGUGGGGGAUAACUAGUCGAAAGACUAGCUAAUACCGCAUACGAUCUACGGAUGAAAGUGGGGACCUUCGGGCCUCAUGCUUUUGGAGCGGCCGAUAUCUGAUUAGCUAGUUGGUGAGGUAAAGGCGUCACCAAGGCGACGAUCAGUAGCUGGUCUGAGAGGACGACAGCCACACUGGGACUGAGACACGGCCCAGACUCCUACGGGAGGCAGCAGUGGGGAAUUUUGGACAAUGGGGGCAACCCUGAUCCAGCCAUGCCGCGUGUGUGAAGGAAGGCCU